GAGCCACUACAGUGACAACACUGGAUCUUUAACCCACUAGGCCAUCAGGGAACUCCUCAUCCUUUUAUAUACUAAUUUUUAAAAAUUGACCCUUGUCAGUACAUUUUGGUAUAAUAAAUUUAUUCUGUCUUAAAAAUAAGUAAAAAUAAAAAUAAAAAGUAGUGCCCUUGUGCGUCACAAUUUAGCCUGCAGUCGAUGCUUAGAACAACACACAGGCAGACUUUGGGGUUCCAGACCACUGCAGUAAAGUGAAUACUGGGAUAAAGUGAGUCACAUGGGGUUUUUGGCUUCCUGACGCAUAUAAAGGUUACAGUUACACUGCAUUGUGUCUUAAAUAAAAAAAACCCCAAGGUAUAUCUACCUUAAUUAAAAAUACUCUAUUGGUAAAAAAUGCUCACCAUCCUCUGCUUUCAGCGAGUUGUAGCGGUAACAUCAAAGAUCACUGAUCACAAGUCACCAGAGCAGGUGUAAUAAUAAUGAAAAAGUUGGAAAUACUGUGAGAGUUACUGACUGUGACACAGACACAGGAAGGGAGCAAAUGCUGUUGGGAAAAAAAAAGGUGCCCAUAGAUUUGCUCAAUAUGGCAGAGCCACAAACCCUGAGUUUGUAAAAAACACCGUUAUCUGUGAAAGGCAGUGGUACAAAGACGGAAAAAAGUUAACUCAGGCAGCAAGAAAGCGUUGAAGGACUUUUAAAGAAAAGUAAUUUAAAGGUUCAAGUAGAAGAGACUGGAACACAAAAUCGAGGAGAGAAGAGAAACAAGAUAAAUCCUGAAGUUCUCUCUCUUUAAGAAGACAAAAUGGUCUGGGCAAUAGAUCUUAAGCAUCCCAAAGCAGUUCAGGGAACUCUCCUACCUUCCUGGGGCCAGUGGGGUGAGGGAUGGGGUUGGCGGGGGCGGUGGGGGGGGAACAGUACAGCCACUCUGGAAAUCAGUUUGGUUAAGUUUUUAUAAAGCCAAACAGAUUCUGACCACAUGGCCCAGCAAUCCCAUUCCUAGGUUAUUUAUUCAAAAAAAAAAUGAAAACAUACAUUCCUAUAAAAACCUGUAUGUGAGUAUUAUGGAGGUAUUGGUUAUCAUCACCAAAAAUUUCAAACAACCCAAAGGUCCUUCACCUGGUGAAUGAAUAAGCAAACCCUACAUCCAUAAUGGAAUACCCCUCAGUGAUAACUAGGAGCAAACUACCGAUAACACACAACAGCACUGGUGCAUCUCAAACAGCUGUGGACUGUAUGAUUCCAUUUAUAGGACAUUACAGCCAAAGCAAAACUAUUAGAACAGAAAACAGAUCAGUGGUUACCAGGGGAUGAGGCUGAAGGAACAUUUCAGGGUGACGGAAAUUUACAUUUUUGCUUAUGGUGGUUACACAACUGUAUGCACUUAACAAAACUCACAGCUGUACACUUUUUAAAAGAGCACAGCCCUGUAAUGACAAAGAAGAAAAAAAGAGAAAGAGUGAAUGUUACUGAAUGUAAUCACAUACUGAUACACCCAACAUUUUUUUUCUUUUUUUCUUUUCAUACCCCUCAAGGCAGAUGAAAGUUCCCGGGCCAGGGAUUGAAUCUGAGCCACAGCUGCAACCUACACGACAGCUGCAGCAAUGCCGGACCCUUAACCCCCUGUGCCACAGUGGGAACUCCCACGUCUGACUUUUUAAAAGCAGCUCAGAGCAAUUACACCAACAAGAUUACCACAUGGAAUGGGGCUCUUAGGACCUUCUACAAGGUUCUAAAGACCAUUUUCCAUCUUCGUCAAUGAACUCUCACCCCUGUUUUCUUCCCAUGUAAUAUUUAUAGGAAGAUUAUUGGUUGCUCACUGGUAGGAGACAAAGCUCCAUUAAUCUU
This 1842-nucleotide long non-coding RNA is filed under the name Sus scrofa (pig). RNAcentral's name for it is "lncRNA (ENSSSCG00000056803.1)". The record is from RNAcentral. Lineage: Eukaryota; Metazoa; Chordata; Mammalia; Artiodactyla; Suidae.